CUACCCUUGACAUGUCAGGAAUCCUGCAGAGAUGUGGGAGUGCCCGAAAGGGAGCCUGAGCACAGGUGCUGCAUGGCUGUCGUCAGCUCGUGUCGUGAGAUGUUGGGUUAAGUCCCGCAACGAGCGCAACCCUUGUCGUUAGUUGCUACGAAAGGGCACUCUAAUGAGACUGCCGGUGACAAACCGGAGGAAGGUGGGGAUGACGUCAAGUCCUCAUGGCCCUUAUGGGUAGGGCUUCACACGUCAUACAAUGGUACAUACAGAGGGCUGCCAACCCGCGAGGGGGAGCUAAUCCCAGAAAGUGUAUCGUAGUCCGGAUUGGAGUCUGCAACUCGACUCCAUGAAGUUGGAAUCGCUAGUAAUCGCGGAUCAGCAUGUCGCGGUGAAUACGUUCCCGGGUCUUGUACACACCGCCCGUCACACCAUGGGAGCGGGUUUUACCAGAAGUAGUUAGCCUAACCGCAAGGAGGGCGAUUACCACGGUAGGAUUCGUGACUGGGGUG
Molecule: ribosomal RNA, 503 nt
Filed under: uncultured bacterium
Lineage: Bacteria
Description: bacterial SSU rRNA
Rfam family: Bacterial small subunit ribosomal RNA
Source: RNAcentral